UACAGAGGUCUCAAGCGUUGUUCGGAUUUAUUGGGCGUAAAGAGCGUGUAGGCGGCCGUACAGGUCAGCUGUGAAAACUCGAGGCUCAACCUCGAGACGUCGGUUGAAACCGUACGGCUAGAGUCCGGAAGAGGAGAGUGGAAUUCCCGGUGUAGCGGUGAAAUGCGCAGAUAUCGGGAAGAACACCCGUGGCGAAGGCGGCUCUCUGGGACGGUACUGACGCUGAGACGCGAAAGCGUGGGGAGCGAACAGG
RNAcentral lists this ribosomal RNA (253 nucleotides) under uncultured bacterium. RNAcentral describes it as "partial 16S ribosomal RNA". It matches the Rfam family "Bacterial small subunit ribosomal RNA", at positions 524 to 776 of the family's 1533-position model. The record is from RNAcentral.